GUCCACGCCGUAAACGAUGGACACUAGGCGUCGGGGGGAGCGACCCUCCCGGUGCCGUCGCUAACGCAGUAAGUGUCCCGCCUGGGGAGUACGGCCGCAAGGCUGAAACUCAAAGGAAUUGACGGGGGCCCGCACAAGCGGUGGAGCAUGUGGUUCAAUUCGAAGCAACGCGAAGAACCUUACCUGGGCUUGACAUGCACGGGAAAGCCGGUGGAAACAUCGGUCCCUCUUCGGAGUCCGUGCACAGGUGCUGCAUGGCUGUCGU
Molecule: ribosomal RNA, 265 nt
Filed under: uncultured bacterium
Lineage: Bacteria
Description: partial 16S ribosomal RNA
Rfam family: Bacterial small subunit ribosomal RNA
Source: RNAcentral